RNAcentral lists this ribosomal RNA (253 nucleotides) under uncultured bacterium. RNAcentral describes it as "partial 16S ribosomal RNA". It matches the Rfam family "Bacterial small subunit ribosomal RNA", at positions 524 to 776 of the family's 1533-position model. The record is from RNAcentral.
UACAGAGGGUGCGAGCGUUAAUCGGAAUUACUGGGCGUAAAGGGUGCGUAGGUGGUUUGAUAAGUUAGGUGUGAAAGUCCUGGGCUUAACCUGGGGACUGCGCCUGAUACUGUUGAGCUAGAGUACUGUAGAGGAAAGUGGAAUUUCCGGUGUAGCGGUGAAAUGCGUAGAUAUCGGAAGGAACAUCAGUGGCGAAGGCGACUUUCUGGACAGAUACUGACACUGAGGCACGAAAGCGUGGGGAGCAAACAGG